Molecule: ribosomal RNA, 253 nt
Filed under: uncultured bacterium
Lineage: Bacteria
Description: partial 16S ribosomal RNA
Rfam family: Bacterial small subunit ribosomal RNA
Source: RNAcentral
UACAGAGGGUGCAAGCGUUGUUCGGCAUUAUUGGGCGUAAAGCGCGUGUAGGCUGCUUUGCAAGUCGGGUGUGAAAGCCCUCAGCUUAACUGAGGAAGUGCGCCCGAAACUGCAGAGCUUGAGUACCGGAGAGGAUGGCGGAAUUCCCCAAGUAGAGGUGAAAUUCGUAGAUAUGGGGAGGAACACCGGUGGCGAAGGCGGCCAUCUGGACGGAUACUGACGCUGAGACGCGAAAGCGUGGGUAGCAAACAGG